GAUGAACGCUGGCGGCGUGCUUAACACAUGCAAGUCGAACGGAGUAUUGACGCUGACGAGACUUCGGUCAAAUCUUGUUAAUACUUAGUGGCGGACGGGUGAGUAACGCGUGGGUAACCUGCCGUAUGCAGGGGGACAACAGUUGGAAACGACUGCUAAUACCGCAUAAGCGCACGGUUUUGCAUGAAACAGUGUGAAAAGAAUUUCGGCAUACGAUGGACCCGCGUUUGAUUAGCUAGUUGGUGAGGUAACGGCCCACCAAGGCGACGAUCAAUAGCCGGCCUGAGAGGGCAAUCGGCCACAUUGGGACUGAGACACGGCCCAAACUCC
Molecule: ribosomal RNA, 330 nt
Filed under: uncultured Lachnospiraceae bacterium
Lineage: Bacteria; Bacillati; Bacillota; Clostridia; Lachnospirales; Lachnospiraceae
Description: bacterial SSU rRNA
Rfam family: Bacterial small subunit ribosomal RNA
Source: RNAcentral